CUUUUUAUUAACCAGGUUUUCAACGAAAACCGGGUUAUUGUAAUGCCGAAGUCGGCGGGCGGGCGGGCAGGCGUCAACUUUUGGUUUCCGCUCAAUAACUUGAGUUUGCUUUGGCCUAUUGACACCAAACUUGGUGUGUAGGUAGCUUAUAUCAAGAGGCAGCUUGGGAUUGCUACCCAGGUGUCUGUGAUCAAGGUCAAGGUCACUGUUACUAAAAAUAGAAAUUCAGUUUCCGCUCAAUAACUUGAGUUUGCUUUGGCCUAUUGACACCAAACUUGGUGUAUGGAUAGCUUAUAUCAAGAGGCAGCUUGGGAUUGCUACCCAGGUGUCUUUGAUCAAGGUCAAGGUCACUGUUACUAAAAAUAGAAAUUCAGUUUCUGCUCAAUAACUUGAGUUUGUUUUGACCUAUUGACACCAAACUUGGUGUAUGGAUAGCUUAUAUCAAGACGCAGCUUGGGAUUGCUACCCAGGUGUCUGUGAUCAAGGUCAAGGUCACUGUUACUAAAAAUAGAAAUUCAGUUUCUGCUCCAUAACUUGAGUUUGAUUUGGCCUAUUGACACCAAACUUGGUGUAUGGAUAGCUUAUAUCAAGAGGCAGCUUGGGAUUGCUACCCAGGUGUCUGUGAUCAAGGUCAAGGUCACUGUUACUAAAAAUAGAAAUUCAGUUUCCGCUCAAUAACCUGAGUUUGCUUUGACCUAUUGACACCAAACUUGGUGUAUGGAUACCUUAUAUCAAGAGGCAGCUUGGGAUUGCUACCCAGAUGUCUGUGAUCAAGGUCACUGUUACUAAAAAUAGAAAUUCAGUUUCUGCUCAAUAACUUGAGUUUGCUUUGGCCUAUUGACACCAAACUUGAUGAAUGGGUAGCUUAUAUCAAGGGGUAGCUUGGGAUUGCUACCCAGGUGUCUGUAAUCAAGGUCAAGGUCACUGUUACUAAAAAUAGAAAUUCAGUUUCCGCUCAAUAAUUUGAGUUUGCUUUGGCCUAUUGACACCAAAUUUGGUGUUUUGGUAGCUUAUAUUAAGAGGCAGCUUGGGAUUGAUACCCAGGUGUCUGUGAUUAAGGUCAAGGUCACUGUUACUAAAAAUAGAAAUUCAGUUUCAGCUCAAUAACUUGAGUUUGCUUUGGUCUAUUGACACCAACUUGGUGUAUGGAUAGCUUUUAUCAAGAGGCAGCUUGGGAUUGCUAUCCAGGUGUCUGUGAUCAAGGUCAAGGUCACU
Molecule: long non-coding RNA, 1215 nt
Organism: Ruditapes philippinarum (Manila clam)
Lineage: Eukaryota; Metazoa; Mollusca; Bivalvia; Venerida; Veneridae
Exons: 2
Source: RefSeq, a predicted model, not a curated record